RNA transcript from Nematostella vectensis (starlet sea anemone), 2854 nucleotides. RefSeq lists it as uncharacterized. The record is from RefSeq and is a predicted model, not a curated record. The transcript has 2 exons. NCBI's taxonomy places the organism in Eukaryota, Metazoa, Cnidaria, Anthozoa, Actiniaria, Edwardsiidae.
AUAGCACCUUGUACUCCAAAUCUUGAACAACAAGACCGAGCUGAAGGUGAUCAAGACUUACAUCCUGACUUCACUGGAAACUAUAAUCUAUCAGAUGAUUUAGGAAUACCAUCAGUUGAUAAUACUGAAACACUUAUUAUGAAUGAACUGCCAGAUGAUGAAUAUAGAUGUAUGGUACAGACGUUGAAUAAAGAGCAAAAAGAAUUUUUCUAUCAUGUACUACAUUUAAUAAAAACUUCUGGUGAGGCAUUUUACUGCUUUCUAAGUGGUGGUGCAGGUGUGGGUAAAUCACAUGUCACUAAAGCCUUAUACCAAGCUGCUUUGAAAUAUUAUAACACCAGACCUGGCGUUAAUUUUGCUGAAACAAAAAUACUUAUGUUAGCACCCACAGGGAAAGCAGCAUAUAAUAUAAAGGGCAAUACCAUUCAUAGUGCUUUAGCAGUACCAGCCUGUCAGUCAUUAAAGAACUAUAAGAAACUUGAUUCAAGUAGGCUUAAUACAUUAAGAUGUCAAAUAGGUGGACUUAAGUUGAUAUUUGUAGAUGAAAUAUCUAUGGUUGGUAAUACUAUGUUUAAUGUCCAAUUCAAUAAUAGACUUAAAGACAUCAAAGGCAGCUCGCUACCAUUUGGCGGUGUUAGUAUUGUUGCUAUAGGAGAUUUGUUUUAAUUACAACCUGUAAUGGAUGGUUAUAUAUUUAAAGACAUGGAUAAUGAUGAAUAUGGUGUUCUUGCACCUAAUGUAUGGCAAGAACUUUUCAAAAUGUUUGAACUUAAAGAAAUCAUGCGACAGAGGGAAAGCAAAGACUUUGCUGAAUUAUUGAAUAGAUUAAGAGAGGGAAAUCAUACUAAAGAGGAUAUAAUCAAAUUAAAGGAAAGAAUUCUUAACCACGCUAGUGCUCAGUAUCCCAAAGAUGCACCUCAUUUAUUUAUUCAAAAUGCUAAAGUCAAUGACUUCAACUAUAAAGCUCAUAAUGCUCUUCAGGGUCCAAAAUACUCUAUUAAAGCACAUGACACUGUCAUUGGAACAGAUUCGGAAGAACUUAGAGACAAAAUAUUAAAGCAAAUACCUAAAGAUCCUAGAAAAACAAAACAACUGCAUUCUGUUUUGCAUUUGGCAAUUGGUGAAAGAACAGAGAUAUCACUAAACACUAGAAAUGAUGAUGGUAUGACCAAUGGUGCUGGUAGUGUCAUAAAAUUUAUGCAAAUACAUAAAACAGACAAACCAUCAGGUAUUAUAUGGGUACAGUUUGAUCAUGCUGAUGUUGGUCAAAAAACCAGGCAUGAUAAUAGACAGCUAUAUGUCAAUGAUAUUGAACCAACAUGGACACCAAUCAAACCUAUUAGCACUCAAUUUGCUGUAGGUAGAACAAGAUCUGUACACGUGAUGAGAAAACAAUUUCCACUUAGACCUGCUGCUGCUAAAACAAUACAUAGAUCACAGGGUGAUACUGAAAGUAGAAUUGUAGUAAAUUUUGAAACCAAAAGAGCCAUUCCUCAUAUACAUUAUGUAGGAUUAAGUAGAGUAACAACUAUAGAUGGUCUAUAUAUAACUGACUUAUGUGAAAGCAAAAUAGCUGUUAAUACUGACGUCCAAACUGAAAUGCAUCGAUUGAGAACUGAAGGAAAACUGUCACUUUCUGUUAGUCCCAUAUAUGAAGCACCUCAAGCUAGUAUUAAAAUCUGUUUUCUCAGUGCAAGAUCAUUGCACAAGCAUAUAGAUGACAUACGUCAUGACUUAAAUUACUCAAGCACUGAUGUAAAUAUUUUUUCAGAAACAAGAUUUUUUCAGCAUGAAAAUGAUGAUUCAUAUCUAUUAGAUGAUAAAAACUAUACAUUGUUCAGAAAUGAUGGUACACCAAGACAAAAUGUAAGGCCAUAUGGAGGUACAGCAGUGUAUAGCCGUCUUGACUAUUACCCAGGAUAUCCAUUUUGUAGUAAUAUACAUGGUGUAGAAAUAACUAUUUUGAGGUUUAUGAUCAUACCUCAUAUUACAAUAGUGGGAGUAUACAGCUCACCAACAGUAUCAAUAACAGAAUUAUGUAAUGCUAUGAAAGAGACACUAGACUCUCUACCAACACAAAUUAACAUUUUUAUUGGUGAUUUCAUUGUGAACUGGUUCAGUGAAUCACGCCGUGCAUCACUUUAUAACUUUUUUAUAACACAAAAUUGUUAUAGACAGCUAGUUUCAUGUAGUACAACAGACAGUAAAACCUGUAUUGACCACAUCUACACUAAUUUACCUGAAGUGCAAACAAGCUUUCAGAUUUUGGAGACAUAUUUUUCUGAUCAUAAAGCCAUUUGUGUAUUGAUAAACAGCUUCAUUAACUAAAGGCAAACAUUGAUAAUGGAGUCUAUAAAUACAGUGCAAACAAUUUACAUUACACACUAGUUUAUUUAACAUUAGCACAUACUGAUUAUGUUCUUAUAAGACUACCGGUAUUCUGAAUAAUUAGGUACUUAUUAUAAAUAUUAUGUAUUAGAAACACAGUUAAAUACACUCAAUAGUGCAAUUGUUUAGAUACACUUUAUUUCAUUACAGAAUACCAACAUGAGCACUCCUACAACAAACCCACAACAACAACUCAACAAAGCUGACGACUCACCAGGUAAGAUAUAUAUUUCUUUGUUGUGUAAAGCAUAAUAAACAAUGUGUUUGCAAUGACUAAAAUAAGUUCUAUUCUUUCAGAUGUCCAACUAGAGGGUUUUGUUCAUAGCCUAAGUCCUGUUAAGCAUGCGAAAAAAAAAAACAGAAAACCAUACUUUGACUGUCUUGUCCAAACUGGAGAAGCUGAAAAGGUCCGUGCCGUGUGCUAUGACCCACAGCUAAGAAAAAAUCUCCUUGAACCAUACCAAAA